GUUUAAAUAAUUUAAUCAAAAAAUUUUGAUUUUGUAAAUCAAACUUGAAUUUUUCUUUAAACU
RNAcentral lists this transfer RNA (63 nucleotides) under Amblyomma testudinarium. Its description in RNAcentral is "tRNA-Thr". The record is from RNAcentral. RNAcentral also lists the same sequence under 1 other name. Lineage: Eukaryota; Metazoa; Arthropoda; Arachnida; Ixodida; Ixodidae.